This is a long non-coding RNA of Rhincodon typus (whale shark), 447 nucleotides long. RefSeq lists it as uncharacterized. Lineage: Eukaryota; Metazoa; Chordata; Chondrichthyes; Orectolobiformes; Rhincodontidae. The transcript is spliced from 2 exons. The record is from RefSeq and is a predicted model, not a curated record.
UCUAUAGUGUUGCAGUCGCAUCCCAUUCCAUACCAUUUAUCUGAAGGGGUGGUGCUUCUUCUUUCUCACCACAGCCACCUUGGACGGCAAGCUCCAACUGUUUGUUCCAUAGCGGCAGAGGAUCCUGAAGGCACAGUAAUACAUCAUAACCUGAAUGUAGCACGAAUAAAUCAUAUCAGAAACCAAGAACUGUGACUGGAAACCAAAUGAUAAGUGUCACAAAUUGGGAAAUGGGUUGAGAUCUGAGGCUCAUGAUGAAGGAAGUGACAUACGUGGUAUUUUCUCAAUGUCUCUGGGAUAAAGGGCUUGCGGGAAACAGAUUAGCAGGAUACUUGGAGAUGAAUGGAUGUUAUUCAGCGAAGAUGAUGAAAGUAAUUCUGAGCCAGAACAGUUGUGUCACAAGCUUCAACUCUGUGUCAGACCAUUAAAGUGAAGAGUGCGUGGUUA